Molecule: ribosomal RNA, 595 nt
Filed under: uncultured bacterium
Lineage: Bacteria
Description: bacterial SSU rRNA
Rfam family: Bacterial small subunit ribosomal RNA
Source: RNAcentral
CCUACGGGAGGCAGCAGUGGGGAAUCUUGCGCAAUGGGCGAAAGCCUGACGCAGCAACGCCGCGUGCGGGAAGAAGGCUUUCGGGCUGUAAACCGCUUUCAGCAGGAACGAAAAUGACGGUACCUGCAGAAGAAGGAGCGGCCAACUAUGUGCCAGCAGCCGCGGUGAUACAUAGGCUUCAAGCGUUGUCCGGAUUUAUUGGGCGUAAAGAGUUCGUAGGCGGUCAAGUAAGUCGGGUGUGAAAAUUCUGGGCUCAACCCAGAGACGCCACCCGAUACUGCUUAACUUGAGUUCGAUAGGGGAGUGGGGAAUUCCUAGUGUAGCGGUGAAAUGCGCAGAUAUUAGGAGGAACACCGGUGGCGAAGGCGCCACUCUGGAUCGAUACUGACGCUGAGGAACGAAAGCAUGGGUAGCAAACAGGAUUAGAUACCCUGGUAGUCCAUGCCGUAAACGGUGGGCACUAGGUGUGGGUUUCUAUUAACGAAAUCCGNGCCGUCGCUAACGCAUUAAGUGCCCCGCCUGGGGAGUACGGUCGCAAGCUUAAAACCNCGAAAGGAUUGAACGGNUGAGAGUGCGAGACGACGACGAGGAGAGG